Etheostoma spectabile (orangethroat darter) is the source of this 77-nucleotide long non-coding RNA. RefSeq lists it as uncharacterized. The transcript has 3 exons. NCBI's taxonomy places the organism in Eukaryota, Metazoa, Chordata, Actinopteri, Perciformes, Percidae. The record is from RefSeq and is a predicted model, not a curated record.
GGUUUUGGUGAUGGGUUUCUGUCUUGGGUUGGUUUACUGUAUAAUGGUGCACAGUGUUUGGUGGAGACGGGGGCUGG